RNAcentral lists this ribosomal RNA (497 nucleotides) under uncultured bacterium. RNAcentral's name for it is "partial 16S ribosomal RNA". It matches the Rfam family "Bacterial small subunit ribosomal RNA", at positions 28 to 507 of the family's 1533-position model. The record is from RNAcentral.
GAUGAACGCUGGCGGCGUGCCUAAUACAUGCAAGUCGAGCGAACGGACGAGAAGCUUGCUUCUCUGAUGUUAGCGGCGGACGGGUGAGUAACACGUGGAUAACCUACCUAUAAGACUGGGAUAACUUCGGGAAACCGUAGCUAAUACCGGAUAAUAUUUUGAACCGCAUGGUUCAAAAGUGAAAGACGGUCUUGCUGUCACUUAUAGAUGGAUCCGCGCUGCAUUAGCUAGUUGGUAAGGUAACGGCUUACCAAGGCAACGAUGCAUAGCCGACCUGAGAGGGGGAUCGGCCACACUGGAACUGAGACACGGUCAAGACUCCUACGGGAGGCAGCAGUAGGGAAUCUUCCGCAAUGGGCGAAAGCCUGACGGAGCAACGCCGCGUGAGUGAUGAAGGUCUUCGGAUCGUAAAACUCUGUUAUUAGGGAAGAACAUAUGUGUAAGUAACUGUGCACAUCUUGACGGUACCUAAUCAGAAAGCCACGGCUAACUACGUG